RNAcentral lists this transfer RNA (71 nucleotides) under Merluccius polli (Benguela hake). RNAcentral describes it as "tRNA-Cys". It matches the Rfam family "tRNA". From Rfam's summary of the family: Transfer RNA (tRNA) molecules are approximately 80 nucleotides in length. Their secondary structure includes four short double-helical elements and three loops (D, anti-codon, and T loops). Further hydrogen bonds mediate the characteristic L-shaped molecular structure. tRNAs have two regions of fundamental functional importance: the anti-codon, which is responsible for specific mRNA codon recognition, and the 3' end, to which the tRNAs corresponding amino acid is attached (by aminoacyl-tRNA synthetases). tRNAs cope with the degeneracy of the genetic code in two manners: having more than one tRNA (with a specific anti-codon) for a particular amino acid; and 'wobble' base-pairing, i.e. permitting non-standard base-pairing at the 3rd anti-codon position. Lineage: Eukaryota; Metazoa; Chordata; Actinopteri; Gadiformes; Merlucciidae. The record is from RNAcentral.
GUUUCUGUAGUGUAGUGGUUAUCACGUUCGCUACACGCGAAAGGUCCCCGGUUCGAAACCGGGCAGAAACA